UCUCAAAAAUGAUCAUUUUAAUGUUUUCUUUGUUCGCGUUAAAUGGGUGCUAUUGCGCCUUCUUAUCGCCAGGGGGCGGAACACAGUUGAUUCUGCCCCUCCCCCUAAAAUACAUUUGGUGAAAACAGAUGAGGACUAAUGUCCCAAUGAAAAAAAAUAACCAGGUCCACUGCUUCUUCUACUCAACGCAUAGAACAUGAAGCGCAAAUCUGGAAUGAGUAGAGGCUGGCUGUAUAGGCAAAGUGGAGCCGAUGGAGAUGUCAAGGAGGAGCCUUCAAGGAGAUCUGCACGGUUGUCAUCGAAACCAGCCCCUCCCAAACCAGCACCAAAACCAAAAAAGCCUGCUAAAAAAGAAAAAGAAGUAAAUGACAAGAAGAAGGAAGACAAGAAGAAGGUGAAGGCAGCAGCAGUCGAGGAGCCUAAAGAGGAGACCCAGUCUGAAAAUGGCGAGACCAAGACAGACGAAGUAUGUCAUGCCAUAUCACUGAUUGUUAAUAUAAGACUAUCAUUUUUAAUUGGAAGUAUUAUCUCGAGAAUGUUGUUUUUAGUUAGUUGUAUCUUACUAUUUCUAGAGGCAAAUCCAUCUAAAAACAUGAAUCAUUCAGGAUUCAGAGUGAAUGGCUCUCAAGGUCUUACUUUUGUCAUCUUACAGGUAGAGACUCCAGAAGAGAAGACUGAGUAGCACCUAUCCUGUUCGUCCAAUUCUCUCCCUUGUAUGGCCCCCCAAGUCUCAUGUGUUUUCCCUAAAACCUCCAUUACCUUAUUAACAGAGGAAUAUUUUUAUCAACAAUUUUGUAAUUAUUGGUACAGGUUUUUAGCACAAAACAAAGCUAAAUAUGGAAGAUUGUUCUGUUGUGCAGUGGUCAUAUCAAGUGUUUUUAAGCAAACAUAAUUACGGUUUCGUUUUUUUAUUAGUGUUGGUACCUUGUUGGGAGCUCAAAAAAUAAUGCUGGCUGGCAGACUAAUUGCAGGUGGUAUAGUAUCACAUUGUAGGUUUGCCAACUCACAACAUUUCACUUUUGUUGGUGGUUGUAUUUUUACCCUUGAUAUGUGCAGUGUUUUUUCUUUAUGUGGGGGUUUACUUAUUUUCAACGUGAAUGUCUGUAAGAGGAAUUUAAAUAUUGAAAAAAUAUUGAAAACAUUCCAGGCUUAAUAAUGAUGUGGGCAUAACUGCUUUUGAAAUAAUCUUGCUCUGAAUUAUUUUGAUGACAAAUUAUUUUAACGGCAGAAGAGACUUGUUGGAAGUCGCUAAUGCUUUUUGAAACAAAUGUUGGGAUUUUUUAUUGAAAUAUGCCGCUAUCUGUUGUGUUCCCACUGAAGUUCUGGAUGUCUAAUUGGAAUUUAAUAAAAUAGUAAUUGGAAUUUUCCUCAUGAGGUUGCACUCUGUCUCAUUACUUUACGUGUCAUUAUUACUGUAUCAUUACCAUAUCAUAUAUAAACAAACAAUAAUCUUAAAUUAAUGACUGAUGGAAAACUUUUGGUCAGAGGUAGCAUUUUGCAACAUACUUUCUGGAUUUGUCUAAAUGUCUUAGUCACUAUUUGCUGACCAAAACUCAAAAUGAGAGUAAAUGGACCCUAGGUACAAUACAUAACCAAAAGUAUGUGGACACCUGCUCGUCAAACAUCUCAUUCCAAAAUCAUGGGCAUUAAUUUUGACUUGGUCCCACCUUUGCUGCUCUAACAGCCUCCACUCUUCUGGGAAGGCUUUCCACUAGAUGUUAGAACAUUGCUGGGGAGACUUGUUUCCAUUCAACCACAAGAACAUUAGUGAGGUUGGCCACUGAUGUUGGGCGAUUAGUCCUGGCUCGCAGUCAGCAUUCCAAAGGUGUUCGAUGGGGUUGAGGUCAGGGCUCUGUGCAGGCCAGUCAAGUUCUACCACACUGAUCUUGAAAAAACAUUUCUGUAUCGACCUCGCUUUGUGCACAGGAGCAUUGCCAUGCUAAAACAGGAACGGGCCCUCAAACUGUUGCCACAAAGUUUGAAGCACAGAAUCAUCUAGAAUGUCAUUGUAUGCUGUAGCGUUAAAAUUUCCCUUCACUGGAACUAAGGGGCCUAGCCCGAACCAUGAAAAACAGCCCCAGACCAUUAUUCCUUAUCCACCCAACUUUACAGUUGGCACUAUGCAUUGGGAAAAGUAGCGUUCUCCUGGCAUCCGCCUAACCCAGAUUCGCCUGUCGGACUGCCAGAUGGUGAAGCGUGAUUCAUCACUCCAGAGAAUGCGUUUCCAGAGUCCAAUGACAGCAAGCUUUACACCACUCCAGCCGACCCUUGGCAAAGUGCAUGGUGAUCUUAGGCUUGUCUGCGACUGCUCUGCCAUGGAAAUCCAUUUCAUGAGGCUCCAGACAAACAGUUAUUGUGCUGACGUUGCUUCCAGAGGCAGUUUGGAACUCGGAGUUGCAACCCAGGACACACCAUUUUUUACGCGCUUCAGCACUCCGUGGUUCCGUUCUGUGAGCUUGUGUGGCCUACCACCUCGCGGCUGAGCCGUUGUUGCUCCUAGACGUUUCCACUUCACAAUAACAGCACUUACAGUUGACCGGGGCAGCUCUGGUAGGGCAGACAUUUGACGAACUGACUUGUUGGAAAGGUGGCAUCCUGUGACGGUGCCACGUUGAAAGUCACUGAGCUCGUCAGUAAGGCCAUUCUACUGCCAAUGUUUGUCUAUGGAGAUUGCAUGGCUGUGUGCUCGAUUCUAUACACCUUUCAGCAACGGGUGUGGCUGAAAUAGCCGAAGCCACACAUUUUAAGGGGUGUCCACAUUCUUUUUUAUAUAUAAUGUAUCAUGCCAGCUUACUUGUAUAGAGCCUACAAAUCACCACAAAGACAUGAUUUUGCAUGUCUUGCAAAAGCAUGCAAUUUUUCAGCUCUUAACAUUAUAAUUGUUUGACAUGCAAAUUGGUAACCUUGCUCUAACUAGGGCUAAGUAGUGUUUGGCAGUACCCAUUAGCCGUAGCUUUUGUGGAGCGAUGGGUAACGAUGCUUCGAGGGUGACUGAUGUGUGCAGAGCGUCCCUGGUUCGCGCCCAGGUCAGGGCGAGGGGACGGAUGUAAAGUCUAUACUGUUACAUAUAAUAAAUAAUAUGCUGUUAUUUUUGCCAUAUGGUAAGUUUUGUGCUUGUCUGAAAAUAACCCUAUAGUUGUAGUUGCAACUUAAUUUAAUAUUUGGAAGUACAUAGUCUAAAAGUGAAGGCAAGACAUUAGAUCAACAUCCAUUAAAUCAGAAUAUAAUAGGCCUUACUUGUUUAUUUAUUUGAAAUGACAAUCUCAAUACCCCAGAAUAUGCUCUACUCUCAGACAAAUUAAUUGAGGUUGAUAAAAACAAUUUUAUCUACAAAUAUGUCCUCAAUAAAAGGUCUCUGUCCUGGGCUCGAUUUCCCAAAUGCAUUUUAAGGAUAAAUUAGUCUUUAGAACCAUAACGAUAAACUAAGUCUUCAGAUGCUUUUGGGAAACCGGGCCUAGUACUUACUAUAUGUUAUGAACUCCUCACCAAAACCAGGUGGUAUGGCCACCAGGUGGCUCGUGCUGGAAUUGCAAAUGUUCUGUCAUUGGUCGCGGGAGGGCGCUAACAAAGCUGUGGAGAUAGCUUGAGAAAGGAAAAGGCCAAACGCUGGGAAGCAAUUCAAGUGGCUAUUUUCCAAAUACACCUAAACAUUAGUGAAUCAAAU
Long non-coding RNA from Oncorhynchus mykiss (rainbow trout), 3664 nucleotides. The record is from Ensembl. Lineage: Eukaryota; Metazoa; Chordata; Actinopteri; Salmoniformes; Salmonidae.